RNAcentral lists this long non-coding RNA (4916 nucleotides) under Homo sapiens (human). RNAcentral describes it as "HSALNT0079834". Lineage: Eukaryota; Metazoa; Chordata; Mammalia; Primates; Hominidae. The record is from RNAcentral.
CUCAAAUACAAUAUAAAUAGGUAACAGUAACUACACUGAUCAAAAGAAAUAGUUUUGUGCCUGUAUAAAAUAUAUGACAAUGUGUCUUCCAGCUCUUGCAUAUGUCAUAUACUCUAUAUUAUUCUGCCUCCAAUGAGACAUACAUGGAAGGCACUAUGCAGUAUUAUAAAUCCACUCAUUCAUUCUUCAUGUGUUAAAUCAUCUACUCAAUACAAAGAUCUGAGCUAGGCUGGGGUAGUUGGUGAUGGUAGAAGGGUAAAGGGAUUCAAAAUAUACUGGUUUUUUGUCUUUAAGAAGCUAAAAUCCAAAAGAUGUAAUGUACCUAUCACAACCUCUGAAUGUAAGUCAAGUUUCAUAGGACAAAGCUGACUCAUUUUAGACUGACAAUUGUAACUAUGAUAUGCAGACCAUAUUUGUGUGAUUCCUCAUAGUUAGGCCUAAAUUUUGAGACCAGAUUUAUACUGCAGGAUUUGGAGACUUUUGGAGACUGCUAUUUCUACAUAGCAUCAAGCUUAAAAUCUGAUUUUAAGAUCUUGAUGCAGAGUUCAUACACCUCACCAGAAAAGGUACAAACUUCGAAGAAACUCCCCACAGAAUUAAUCAAUAGUAAUAGUGAGAGAGGAGGAAGGAAGAAAUCAGGCAGGCAGGCAGGCAGACAGGCAGUUAGAGCGGGUCCUCAGUAGAACUCCUUCAAGAACAGCCUGAGAAUCAAGCUGCAGGCCCAAGAUAAGCAAAAGCCUGUGUUCCUAAGUGUAAACACCCACCCUGUGAGCCCAAAUGAAAAAAUUCCACUCCUUUUUUGAGCAUUUUUCUCUCCCCUUGGCACACCUUUGUCCCAUUUUGUGUGCUUCCACCUGAUUGGCUCUUACCUUUCACCUGUUUUGCAUAUACCUAUCUUUCUGUGAUUGGAAGGGGGCCAAAUCUUCAUUUACAUAAAUUGAAACAUCAUUCUAGCUCCUGAUUGGUUGUGGGCCAAGCCUUCACUUCUGCCUCUAAUUGGAGCUUUAUGUUAUCAUGUCUCUUUCUGAAUGGUGCUUUUUCCAAAAUGGCCUGCAGACCACUCAGUGCACUCCUUAUUCCUAGUCCAUAAAAACACCAAACUUAGUACCAGAGUCAGCAACCCUCCUUCUGGUCCCCUCUUGCUGCUGAGAGCUUUUCUGUCCCUUAAUAAAUCCCUGUGUUACUCACUCUCCUGUGUCCACGUUGCUUAUUCUUCUUAGUCAUGGGACAAGAACCUGGAACUCACUGAAAAGCAGGAGUGAAGGAGCUGUAAUGGUGUAAUGGUCCCACUCACCGAGCUGCUUGUGGCAAGGGUCAAAGAACUGUAAUAUUCCCUCCUGCUCACUGAACAAUGGGAGUGAAGAAGCAGCAACAACAGCACCAGAGGGUUGAUUUGAAAAUGAUGGUACUUCGCUCUUGUUGCCCAGGCUGGAGUGCAAUGGCAUGAUAUUGGCUCACUACAACCUCCGCCUCCUGGGUUCAAGCGAUUCUCCUGCCUUAGCCUCCCGAGUCACUGGGAUUACAGACAUGAACAACCACACCCAGCCAAUUUUGUAUUUUUAGUAGAGACAGGGUUUCUCCAUGUUAGUCAGGCUGGUCUCGAACUCCUGACCUCAGGUCAUCCGCCCGCCUCGGCCUCCCUAAGUGCUGGGAUUACAGGCAUGAGCCACCACGCCCGGCCAAUAUUUACUGUUUAUCUUCUCCUCCCCAACUCUUUUCUACCUAGAAGACAGUAACUUAAGCCUGCCUAUAUUUGAGAACAGAGUGGGUAAGGAAGCCCAUUGUCAACUGCAGAAUGUUUGAAAUUGCAUUAUCCCUGAGUGUUUAAUAGCAACAUUUUCCUCUACUAAAUAAAUGCUGUAUACACACACAGACACACCCCCAACACACACAUACACACACACACACACACACACAUACAAAAAUACAUAUGUAUUUAUUUAAAACAGAAAAAUAUUAUUUUUGUAUUUUAUGCUAAAAGAUGUUUAAAUCUUGAACUGAAUUCACAUAUCACUUCCCAUUCAUUCAUUUUUUAAGCUAAGAGUACAAACCUAAAUGAAGCUUUUCUUAGUCAUUUGAAAGCUGUCAUGGUCCAAUCACUUCUGAAGGAAAUAUUUUAGCAAUUACUUUAGUCAAUGUGCAUGGCAAUGGUCAGGGACUUUAUUUUAUUCAAAAUAAGUGGCAGUCAAUAAAGUAUUGCAGAUGAUAGACAUUUAGGAAACAUUAGCUGAAUUAUUCAAAAAGAAGUACAAAGUUUCUACUAAAUAUAUAUAUAUAUAUAUAUUCAGUAGAUAUAUAUUCAGUAGAUAUGAAUGUGUAUAUAGUGUCCGACUAAACAGUGCUUGGCUUAUUAUAACUGUAAUAUGACUAGAUUUCUUCCAUUUUCCUAUAUCAUAUUACAUAAAUUAUUAUUUAUAAAUCUCUAAAGGACCCAUGGAAUUUAAUAUAAAUUAUAACUAUUUCACUUACAACCCACUUACAAACUCCUUUUUCUAUGGACUUUCUGAUAGUGUUUGCCUUAUUUGAAUAAUAAAAUUGUCCAGUAGGAGCUCAUCACUCUAGACAGCAACAGGCAUCUGCAGAGUUCAUUAGAGAUUGCUCCAUAAAAAUAAAAAAUAAAAAAACUUCCUUUGCUGGGUCCCCCAUGUGUUUCUUUUACAACUAUAAUGAGAGCUAUUAUCUACGAAGCGAUGACUAUUUUCCAGGUAAUCAAUAAAACUUAAAAAUGGAUAUGUUAUCUUAAUGGGUACUGAAACUUAAAAAAUAAAAUCAUAAAUUGUCCAAAGACAAAUUAUUUGUAGAUGGGAGAGAUUCAAAGCCUGGUUCUCUUGCCCCAAUGGCGUCUUCCCUUAUCCUAUAAUAGUUUCUUAUAUUUUUUUUACAAGAGUUUCUUUAACCUUUAUGAUAUCUUUGGCUCUGAUGUGUUGUCUUCAUUAUAUUUGCCCUUCCUGCCCACCAUUCUCUUUUCCUGACCCAGCUGUGUUUUCUCUCCUGACGUGGUCCACGUGAAUUGUGGUCACCUGCUAUAAUCGGCCCUCUCUCCUUUGGCCUGCAGACGUGGCCUGUAGAGAGUCCCACAGCCUCAGUGGGCACAGCCUGGUCUUCACAGGGCCCACUUUGCCCCUCCUAGACUCUAGGAUCAUUGUGACUGGAACAAGAAUUAAAAGAAAUUUAAAAAUCUGUAAGCAAAAACUCAGUUGUAUGUAAGAAAACUAACUAUGCCUGAGGAAGAGAAAGAGCUGAAGUCCUUUAAAAAUUGACUGUCUGUUUUUCUGUGGCUAGUGAGCCUUAUCUCUCCCUUUCCCAGGCAUUGUGAAGACCCUGUUUCUCUAGCUGUGCAGCUGCAAGGUCACUAGACAGAUAAUCUCAAGUCAUAAAACAUGUUGUUCCUUAAAAAGUAAGAAAUAAUGUAAUGCACGUCUUAAUUGAAUAACUGUCUUUCUUUCUCGCUUCUGUAAUACGCUUCCCCCUGCACAAAUCUCCCCCCGCCCCACAAAAUGGUUAAAAGGUAGCUUGACUCAGUCCUUUGGAUGUUAAUCCGAUUGGGUCGGUGCAGGUAAAUAAUUAAAUAAUUCCUCCUCAACCCCUCGGUCUCUCUGAUUCCUUAAUUAUCCCGCUGCAUGACAACCAUGACAUAAGUCAUAAAUGAGGGGAACACUCAUUCUUCGAGAAUAUGCACAAUGGCUUUUAGUAAAUUGGCAAACUUCAGCCCAAAAUGACAUUUGAUUCUCUUCUAAGUAAGCAAAAUCCACUGCAGUCUUAACAUGUAACUAACUAGGUGAAACUUACUUUGUUACCAGUUCUUUUUGAGGUUUAACGGUUCUUUUGACAUUUAUUUUGCUUUAGAGAACAAAAUGCUUUUGAAAUUUUCAUCUGAGAUUACUAAUUGAACCUAGAGAGAGCUGAAUGAUUAUGCUAUAAAUCAGCCACAUCAGCUAUGACUUUCAGGGAUAAGAAAAUAAAAGAAUGUGUAUUUCUGGGAUUCAUAUGAAGGAAUUCAUUGCAUGUAAAAUAACAACUUUUAUAUGCUAAUGUCCCCAGAAAGUAAAGCUUUGGACUAAAAGAAUCAAUAAACAAAAUAAUUUGUUUUAAAUUAUAAAGCAAUACAAACACACUGUUUAACAAUAGAAAUUACAGAUGAACAAAAAGAAGAAAAUGAAAUUUGUUAGCAACUCCAUAUAUAACUAGAUAACCACUGAGUGGUUUGUAAAUGUUAAUUUUUUUUUUUUUUUGAGACAGGGUCUCACGGUGUUUCUCAUGCUAGAGCGCAGUGGUGCAAUCAUGGCUCACUGCAACCUUGAUCUCCCAAGCUCAAGCAGUCCUCCCACCUCAGGCUCCAGAGUAGCUGGGACUACAGGGGCGCACCAGGAUUCCUGAGCUAAUUUUUUUUAAAUUUUUUUUUUUGUAGAAAUGGGUCUAUGUUGCCCAGACUGGUCUUGAACUCCUGGACUCAAGCAAAUCCUCCCACCUCGGCCUUCCAAAAUGCUGGAAUUACAGGCAUGAGCCACUCUGUCCGGCCUUAAAUAUUUUUCUGUACAUGUGUUUUUAACACGAACACACUCAUGAGGGUCACCUCCUGCACGAGUCCGAGAGGUAUUCCAUUAUUUUGCACCAAUACCACAUUAUCAUAAACAAUGUAGAUUAAAAAAAAAUCCUGAUAUUUUUAUUUUUGAACAAACCCUCUGUUUACACUACUUCUUUAAAAGUAAAUUGACCCUUUGGAUCCUUUAUCCUCUCUUCUCAUAUGAAUCUUACAUUUGUUUGUCAGCUUCUAUGAAAAAAUCACGGGACAAUUUUUAUUGAAAUUUCAUUGAAUUGAUAGAUUGAUUUGGCAAGAAGUUUUUGAAAUCUUCCCAUCUGCGGAUAUAUUUGUUUAAUCAUUUACAUUUUAUAUUAAGUCUUUCUAUUUUUUUUUC